RNAcentral lists this ribosomal RNA (1497 nucleotides) under Sexangularia sp. CB-2014. RNAcentral's name for it is "Bacterial small subunit ribosomal RNA". It matches the Rfam family "Bacterial small subunit ribosomal RNA". Lineage: Eukaryota; Tubulinea; Elardia; Arcellinida. The record is from RNAcentral.
UUGAAGAGUUUGAUCAUGGCUCAGAUUGAACGCUGGCGGCAGGCCUAACACAUGCAAGUCGAGCGGUAGCACAGAGAGCUUGCUCUCGGGUGACGAGCGGCGGACGGGUGAGUAAUGUCUGGGAAACUGCCUGAUGGAGGGGGAUAACUACUGGAAACGGUAGCUAAUACCGCAUAACGUCGCAAGACCAAAGUGGGGGACCUUCGGGCCUCAUGCCAUCAGAUGUGCCCAGAUGGGAUUAGCUAGUAGGUGGGGUAAUGGCUCACCUAGGCGACGAUCCCUAGCUGGUCUGAGAGGAUGACCAGCCACACUGGAACUGAGACACGGUCCAGACUCCUACGGGAGGCAGCAGUGGGGAAUAUUGGACAAUGGGGGCAACCCUGAUCCAGCGAUGCCGCGUGAGUGAUGAAGGCCUUAGGGUUGUAAAACUCUUUCAGAUGGGAAGAUAAUGACGGUACCAUCAGAAGAAGCUCCGGCUAACUCCGUGCCAGCAGCCGCGGUAAUACGGAGGGAGCUAGCGUUGUUCGGAAUUACUGGGCGUAAAGCGCGCGUAGGCGGCUUGGCAAGUUGGGGGUGAAAUCCCGGGGCUUAACCUCGGAACUGCCUCCAAAACUGCUGAGCUAGAAUCCUGGAGAGGUGAGUGGAAUUCCUAGUGUAGAGGUGAAAUUCGUAGAUAUUAGGAAGAACACCAGUGGCGAAGGCGACUCACUGGACAGGUAUUGACGCUGAGGUGCGAAAGCGUGGGGAGCGAACAGGAUUAGAUACCCUGGUAGUCCACGCCGUAAACGAUGGAUACUAGCUGUCCGGAUGCAAAUCUGGGCGGCCAAGCGAAAGUGAUAAGUAUCCCACCUGGGGAGUACGUCCGCAAGGAUGAAACUCAAAGGAAUUGACGGGGGCCCGCACAAGCGGUGGAGCAUGUGGUUUAAUUCGAUGAUACGCGAGGAACCUUACCAGGGCUUAAAUGUGGUCUGACAGCUUUAGAGAUAGAGCCUCCUUCGGGCAGAUCACAAGGUGCUGCAUGGUUGUCGUCAGCUCGUGCCGUGAGGUGUCAGGUUAAGUCCUAUAACGAGCGCAACCCCUGCCGUUAGUUGCCAGCAUGUAAAGAUGGGGACUCUAACGGGACUGCCGGUGCAAACCGCGAGGAAGGUGGGGAUGACGUCAAAUCAUCACGGCCCUUACGUCCUGGGCCACACACGUGCUACAAUGGCCGGUACAGAGAGCAGCCACUGGGCAACCAGGAGCGAAUCUAUAAAACCGGUCACAGUUCGGAUCGGGGUCUGCAACUCGACCCCGUGAAGCUGGAAUCGCUAGUAAUCGGAUAUCAGCCAUGAUCCGGUGAAUACGUUCCCGGGCCUUGUACACACCGCCCGUCAAGCCAUGGAAGCCGGGAGUGCCUGAAGUCCGUCACCGCAAGGAGCGGCCUAGGGCAAGAUCGGUAACUAGGGCUAAGUCGUAACAAGGUAGCCGUACCGGAAGGUGCGGCUGGAACACCUCCUU